UAGAAUUCCACGUGUAGCAGUGAAAUGCGUAGAGAUGUGGAGGAAUACCGAUGGCGAAGGCAGCCCCCUGGGCCAAUACUGACGCUCAUGCACGAAAGCGUGGGGAGCAAACAGGAUUAGAUACCCUGGUAGUCCACGCCCUAAACGAUGUCAACUAGUUGUUGG
RNAcentral lists this ribosomal RNA (165 nucleotides) under uncultured Burkholderia sp. Its description in RNAcentral is "partial 16S ribosomal RNA". It matches the Rfam family "Bacterial small subunit ribosomal RNA", at positions 662 to 826 of the family's 1533-position model. Lineage: Bacteria; Pseudomonadati; Pseudomonadota; Betaproteobacteria; Burkholderiales; Burkholderiaceae. The record is from RNAcentral.